RNAcentral lists this transfer RNA (87 nucleotides) under Gammaproteobacteria bacterium. Its description in RNAcentral is "tRNA-Leu". It matches the Rfam family "tRNA". Rfam says of the family: Transfer RNA (tRNA) molecules are approximately 80 nucleotides in length. Their secondary structure includes four short double-helical elements and three loops (D, anti-codon, and T loops). Further hydrogen bonds mediate the characteristic L-shaped molecular structure. tRNAs have two regions of fundamental functional importance: the anti-codon, which is responsible for specific mRNA codon recognition, and the 3' end, to which the tRNAs corresponding amino acid is attached (by aminoacyl-tRNA synthetases). tRNAs cope with the degeneracy of the genetic code in two manners: having more than one tRNA (with a specific anti-codon) for a particular amino acid; and 'wobble' base-pairing, i.e. permitting non-standard base-pairing at the 3rd anti-codon position. Lineage: Bacteria; Pseudomonadati; Pseudomonadota; Gammaproteobacteria. The record is from RNAcentral.
GCCCGAGUGGUGAAAUCGGUAGACACAACAGAUUUAAAAUCUGUCGCUCUCUUGGGCGUGCCGGUUCAAGUCCGGCCUCGGGCACCA